AUACGUAGGUGGCACGCGUUGUCCGGAUUUACUGGGUGUAAAGGGCGCGUAGGCGGGAUUUUAAGUCAGAUGUGAAAUACCGGGGCUUAACCCCGGAGCUGCAUUUGAAACUGUGGUUCUUGAGUGAAGUAGAGGCAAGCGGAAUUCCUGGUGUAGCGGUGAAAUGCGUAGAUAUCAGGAGGAACACCGGUGGCGAAGGCGGCUUGCUGGGCUUUUACUGACGCUGAGGCUCGAAAGCGUGGGUAGCAAACAGGAUUAGAUACCCUGGUAGUCCACGCUGUAAACGAUGAUUACUAGGUGUGGGGGGACUGACCCCUUCCGUGCCGCAGUUAACACAAUAAGUAAUCCACCUGGGGAGUACGGCCGCAAGGUUGAAACUCAAAGGAAUUGACGGGG
This 396-nucleotide ribosomal RNA is filed under the name uncultured bacterium. RNAcentral's name for it is "partial 16S ribosomal RNA". It matches the Rfam family "Bacterial small subunit ribosomal RNA", at positions 523 to 918 of the family's 1533-position model. The record is from RNAcentral.